This 489-nucleotide ribosomal RNA is filed under the name uncultured organism. RNAcentral describes it as "bacterial SSU rRNA". It matches the Rfam family "Bacterial small subunit ribosomal RNA", at positions 8 to 490 of the family's 1533-position model. The record is from RNAcentral.
AGAGUUUGAUCGUGGCUCAGAUUGAACGCUGGCGGCAUGCUUUACACAUGCAAGUCGAGCGGCAGCGCGGGGGCAACCCUGGCGGCGAGCGGCGAACGGGUGAGUAAUGCAUCGGAACGUAUCCUGUAGUGGGGGAUAACCCAGCGAAAGUUGGGCUAAUACCGCAUGAGCUCUGAGGAGGAAAGCGGGGGACCUGAAAGGGCCUCGCGCUGCCGGAGCGGCCGAUGUCCGAUUAGCUAGUUGGUGGGGUAAAGGCUUACCAAGGCGACGAUCGGUAGCUGGUCUGAGAGGAUGAUCAGCCACACUGGGACUGAGACACGGCCCAGACUCCUACGGGAGGCAGCAGUGGGGAAUUUUGGACAAUGGGGGCAACCCUGAUCCAGCCAUGCCGCGUGAGUGAAGAAGGCCUUCGGGUUGUAAAGCUCUUUCGGACGGAACGAAAUGGGCGGGACUAAUACUCCUGUCCGAUGACGGUACCGUAAGAAGAGA